GGAUGUGAGGGCGAUCUGGCUGCAACAUCUAUCACCCCAUUGAUCGCCAGGGUUGAUUCGGCUGAUCUGGCUGGCUAGGCAGGUUUCCCCUUCCUCCCUCAGUGAUCCAUGUGCAUCCCUCCCGAAGCUGCGCGCUCGGUCGAAGAGGACGACCACCCCUGAUAGAGGAGGACCGUUCCUCAGUCAAGGGUAUACGAGUAGCUGCGCUCCCCUGCUAGAACCUCCAAACAAGCUCUCAUUUUAAAGCACCCUCUUCCCAAUGUGAUCCAUGUAAAAACAAACCUGCAGAUAAAAUUUCACUAAUUUAGUGCCAAUU
RNAcentral lists this small nuclear RNA (316 nucleotides) under Octodon degus (degu). RNAcentral's name for it is "7SK RNA (ENSODEG00000024531.1)". It matches the Rfam family "7SK RNA". From Rfam's summary of the family: 7SK was discovered as an abundant small nuclear RNA in the mid-70s but a possible function has only recently been suggested. Two independent studies have found that 7SK RNA binds the CDK9/cyclin T complex (known as elongation factor P-TEFb). P-TEFb activates transcription by phosphorylating the C-terminal domain of RNA polymerase II. Lineage: Eukaryota; Metazoa; Chordata; Mammalia; Rodentia; Octodontidae. The record is from Rfam by way of RNAcentral.